Molecule: ribosomal RNA, 433 nt
Filed under: uncultured bacterium
Lineage: Bacteria
Description: partial 16S ribosomal RNA
Rfam family: Bacterial small subunit ribosomal RNA
Source: RNAcentral
AACGAACGCUGGCGGCAUGCCUAACACAUGCAAGUCGAACGAGACCUUCGGGCCUAGUGGCGCACGGGUGCGUAACCCGUGGGAACCUGCCCUUGGGUUCGGCAUGACUCCCCGAAUGACGUGCUAAUACCGGAUAUUGUCUUCGAACCAACGAUUUAUCGCCUUUGGAUGGGCCUGCGUUGGAUUAGCUAGUUGGUAGGGUAAAUGCCUACCAAGGCGACGAUACAUAGCUGGUCUGAGAGGCUGGUCAGCCACACUGGGACUGAGACACGGCCCGGACUCUUACGGGAGGCAGCAGUGGGGAAUACUGGACUGUGGGCUGAAUGCUGAUCCAGCUAUGACGCGUGAGCGAUGAAGGCUUUAGGGUUGUAAAGCUCUUUUACCCGUGAUUAUAAUGACAGUACCGGGAGAAUAAGCUCCGGCUAACUCCGUG